Homo sapiens (human) is the source of this 772-nucleotide long non-coding RNA. The record is from Ensembl. NCBI's taxonomy places the organism in Eukaryota, Metazoa, Chordata, Mammalia, Primates, Hominidae.
UCCUGUGAUGACCUGUGGCGGAAGGUAAACCGAAGGUGACUGCGGUUAACGUCCUCGAUGGGAAUGGCCACCUUCAAGAAUUGAAAAAGAAGUUUAAGCACUGUUAUCAAUAUCAUCCAGCGUAACAGCUUUAUUCAACUGGAGCUAUCAGGCGGAGCACAGAGGACUUUUAGGAUGGUGAAGCUACCCAGUGAGAGACUACAAUGAGAUAAUUGGUCUUUCACAUUCCUCGUGCUGUCACCAAAAAUAACAGAGCAACAGCAGGGUGGAGGAAGAGCACCAGCACGGUGGAGGAAGAGCACCAACAUGGCAGAUAAAGAGCACCAACAUGGCGGAGGAAGAGCACCAACAUGGCGGAGAAAGAGCACCAACAUGGCAGAGGAAAAGCACCAACAUGGCGGAGGAAGAACACCAACAUGGCGGAGGAAGAACACCAACAUGGCGGAGAAACAGCACCAACAUGGCGGAUGAAGAGCACCAACAUGAAGCUAACCGCGUUCUCUUCACAGUUUGCCUUUCUUCCUCUUCUUCGUUGCUUUGACCGUCCUGCACAUAUCCAUUCUUAUGUCCAUCACCAAGACCUGAAAACCUCCACUGACUGGCUUCCCUACAGACUGAGAAUAUGGCAGAAAAGCUUAUAAAUCACAGCUGUGCAUUGUCCAAUCAACAUUCAACAGUGAUUCUUUUGAAAGUGACUGUGAAGAUCUGAAACUCUCAAGGAAACACAGAGAAAUAGAUUACCAGCCACUCCAAAAGGUCGCCGCAACCCCGA